This 465-nucleotide ribosomal RNA is filed under the name uncultured bacterium. RNAcentral describes it as "partial 16S ribosomal RNA". It matches the Rfam family "Bacterial small subunit ribosomal RNA", at positions 338 to 795 of the family's 1533-position model. The record is from RNAcentral.
CCUACGGGAGUCAGCAGUGGGGAAUAUUGCGCAAUGGGCGAAAGCCUGACGCAGCGACGCCGCGUGAGGGAUGAAGGUCUUCGGAUCGUAAACCUCUGUCAGCAGGGAAGAAAGGUCACUGUGCUAAUCAGCAGUGAAUUGACGGUACCUGCACAGGAAGCACCGGCUAACUCCGUGCCAGCAGCCGCGGUAAUACGGAGGGUGCGAGCGUUAAUCGGAAUUAAUGGGCGUAAAGCGACCGUAGGCGGUAUGUCAAGUCAAGGGUGAAAUCCCAGCGCUGAACGUGGGAACUGCCUUUGAAACUGGUAAACUGGAGUGUGUGAGAGGAUAGUGGAAUUCCAGGUGUAGGAGUGAAAUCCGUAGAUAUCUGGAGGAACAUCAGUGGCGAAGGCGACUAUCUGGCACAUAACUGACGCUGAGGAGCGAAAGCGUGGGUAGCAAACAGGAUUAGAUACCCUAGUAGUC